ACAGAAAAAAAAAAAAAAAAACAACCAACCAAACAAAAAAACACCAAAAAGUUUGUGAUGAUUUGGAAGUCAGUCAAGAUAAAAAGCUCCUGGAUGGUGGCUCUGAGAUUCUACUUUUUAGGGAACUGCAGUCCCACUCUAAAUUAUAGAAACCACUCAGGCACGGAGAGAUUCAUAUCAGGACCCAUGACCAGUGCACACCAUGAGUCUGUCAACCACAUGAUGCACCUACAAAACACCUGACUAAAUGUUGAAUAAUUUACAUACAUAUAUAGAUAUAUAAGAAAGGCAAAUUUCUUUAGAUAAUUGAGAAUCAGCAUGUGCAGACAGGGCAGCUAUACUCCAGCCAUCAGAAAAAAAGAUUUAUGUUAAAAUGAAUUGGCUUUUCAACUCUGAUUACUUUUUAAUCCCAUUGUGUAAUGGAUAGAGUUUGAUUCAGAAAGGGCACAAACAUAACUAUUAUUUCCAGUUAUCAGUUGUGGAGGUAUGUCAACAAAAGACAAAUCUCAUUUAGAAAAAUAGCUGAAAAAAAUCAAUGAAUUGAUAAGUGGAAAGGGAAAAACUGAUAGGGAGGAAAGUAUCUGCAAACUUUCGAGACAGUAGAAAAACAAAGCUAUAAAAAACUCGGUAUUUUGAUGUUACCAAAUAUUCAGAAAUAUUGCAAGAGCUCAGUUUAGACAGGUACUAAAACUACAUAACUUUAAUAGGAAGGGAAGAGAUCCAAUUACAUUCUAACUCAAAUGAACCAGUCAGCAGUCUCCCUGGGUAAGCAAAGAAUAGAGAUUAAGUCCCUUUAUUAAGGAAACAUACAUACUUCACUUAACUUGAAGGAGUUUCCCUUGUCUUGUAGCUCACAAGAACAUGAAGUCCUAAAGAAAAGUAAGUAUUACACUGCCACUUCAUUUGUGAAAGCAAAUUGGAAUUUAUAUUAUUGAUGAGAAUCACUUCUUCACUGAUGUCCUAAAUUAAAAUCCAGCAUAGUAAAAGUGGUAUUUUCUUUCCCAUGGCUUUCAUUUUAAGAGUGGCAAUUUUUCACUAUUCCUUUUAAGUCAUGGGUCAGAGCCUACUGUAAACUAAGUCAGUAAAGCCCCACUGGCACGCUGAACCACUCUGAAUCAGCACUGAUUUAGCCCUGUUUCUUGAAUUUCCUCUUAUAACAAGAAACUGCACAGAACAGUUUGUUUCUUGUCUUACCGACAAUUAAUGAACAUUAUGUAGUUCUGCAAGACAGUGGAAGGAGAGAGAAAGAAGGCCUAAGCAAAACAGAAGUCUAAUGUAUUGUCUAAGUAACCUGCCUAAUGAAAUGAUAAUUGCCCCAAAGGGAAUAAAAGAGUUUAUUUCAUUCAAAAUCUAUGAUACUUUUCUAGUAAAAUGUGAACAAAUUCAAAAUAUCUGAGUGAUGAGAGAAUCUCUAAAUGUUUUGAAAUUGAUUCUGGAUCUAGGUCCAUACUAGAGAUAGCAUUAACACCUUUGUUAGACUUGGACCUCAACUUCAAUAAAUUGAGAAGUUAUUCAGAUUAAGCUCUGCCUUGGGAAGUGGUAUGGAGUUAUUAUGACCUUGAGGGUUGAAUGUGAGUCUGAGUUCUUCAGGCGCAGGGAGUGGUCUAAUCCAAGAGAUUAAUAUAGUAUCCAUUUGAAUUAUGGCUUCUCUAAAAUCAGAACAGUAAUCAAAACUGAAACAGUAAACACAUUGGAAGACUUCUCAUAAACAGGAAAUAUAGAAUCAUAGAAAGAUUCUGUGCUGGAAGGGACCCGUGAGCAUCACUGACUCUACACAGGGCAACCUAAAGGUUAAACCAUAUUUCUAAGAACAUUGUCCAAAUGCUUUUUGAACACUGACAGGCUUGGGACCAUACAGACUUCCUUGGGGAGCUUUUUCCAGUGCUAGACUACCCAGUCAGAGAACAACUUUUUCCUAAUAUCCAGUCUGAACUUACCCUAACACAGCUGUAAGCCAUUCCAUCACAGCCUAUCAAUGAUCACACAAAGUGCCACAAACAAGCAGGCAUAAAUGACCUGUGAAUGAUUGAAUUAACUGACCCAGUUAAAUUAAAAACAAAGACUUGAGUUAUGCCUAGUUUAUUGAUUGAACGUUAUCACAUGCUCACAUGUGCUCAUUGCUGCAGGACAUCCACUCUUUAACCCUCUCAACUUCUACUCUUUGAAAGUUCGCAGCCACUCCAUCAAUUCUCUUUUGUUCUCUUGCCAGACCUAUUCAGCCUCUACUCUAUACCAAACUCCAAGCAAGUGCAGAAAUCCUGGGCUGAAACAGAGCACAGCUAAUUGGUAAUUCUGUGGCAGGCAGCUUGUUUAACAGCCAUGCCACUCCUUUCACAUGAGGUUGCCUCACAAGUGUUUGCUCAAUUCCAUUAUAUUCAUGUUUUCUGUUACCAGUGUUAACCCCUCCAGGGUCUAUCAAUCUGUUAGCUCCUUGCACAACCUUGCUAUGCCUUCUUUUAUGGUACAACCUUCAAACAUAUUACCAUCUGCCUGAGUUCAUUUCCCAUUCAUCUACACAUUUCAAAAGAUGCUUGAUUUCUUGUAGUUCUAAACUUAGUCUUCAAUUGUCCUUGGAAAAACAGGUGGCAUCUAUAUCUUCCUGAACAUCUGGAAGUACCUAACACUGCAUUAGCACGCUAUAAACAGAUAUGAACAGAUAUGGUAAAAUUCACAUUGCACAACUGUUUUGGAUUAAAAGCACUGACUGCAGUGGAAGAGAAGGUUAAGUGGGCCAGGAACAAUAGAGCUCCAGAUUGAACCUGAAAUGAAUGGCUUCAAAGAGAACCCUUUGCAGGAGCCCUUCCCUCGUGCACCAAGCAAAGAGUGCUAGGAGGAAGAACAAGCUGAUGCAAUAGCCUUAAGGAAAGUGGAGGAGCCCUCACAGCUGCAGAUCAGAUAAAACAAUUGAGUUACGUAAGAGGAGAGGCCUCUGCAACAUUUAUCUCAAUAAGAAGAAAAACAAACACAAAAGAGAAACACAUCAUUUCGUCACUGUUAAUGGUAAAUCCUGUCUCCAUCUAAUCUUCAGCAAAAACUGCUUCAUGGUUAUACGAGACUUGUGGCAAACCAGCACAUGGCACCAAUAGUUAAACUGGUUGAUCUUGACCUCUGCUUUCAUGACUAGGUAUGAAAAUAUAUUCUAAUAAACCUCCAGCACAUAGCUACAUUUAUGCUGCAUGUUUUCUCAAGUAUGUACAGAGAUGCAUCAGAUAGCUCCUACAGUGAGAUUAAAAGUGAUAUUUGAAUUGCGUUUCAAGAGUAUAUGUGAUCACAUUAUUGAAUCUUUUGUCUUCUCACUUAUCUGGCAUUGACAGAUUUAUAUCAUUGAUAAAUUACUCUUUGACUCAAA
Molecule: long non-coding RNA, 3349 nt
Organism: Numida meleagris (helmeted guineafowl)
Lineage: Eukaryota; Metazoa; Chordata; Aves; Galliformes; Numididae
Exons: 4
Source: RefSeq, a predicted model, not a curated record